Molecule: transfer RNA, 72 nt
Filed under: Camelus bactrianus (Bactrian camel)
Lineage: Eukaryota; Metazoa; Chordata; Mammalia; Artiodactyla; Camelidae
Also listed under: 1 other name
Rfam family: tRNA
About the family: Transfer RNA (tRNA) molecules are approximately 80 nucleotides in length. Their secondary structure includes four short double-helical elements and three loops (D, anti-codon, and T loops). Further hydrogen bonds mediate the characteristic L-shaped molecular structure. tRNAs have two regions of fundamental functional importance: the anti-codon, which is responsible for specific mRNA codon recognition, and the 3' end, to which the tRNAs corresponding amino acid is attached (by aminoacyl-tRNA synthetases). tRNAs cope with the degeneracy of the genetic code in two manners: having more than one tRNA (with a specific anti-codon) for a particular amino acid; and 'wobble' base-pairing, i.e. permitting non-standard base-pairing at the 3rd anti-codon position.
Source: Rfam by way of RNAcentral
GGGGGUAUAGCUUAGUGGCAGAGCACAUGCUUAGCAUGCACAAGGUCCUGGGUUCAAUCCCCAGUUCCUCUG